RNAcentral lists this unclassified non-coding RNA (343 nucleotides) under soil metagenome. RNAcentral's name for it is "partial contains 5.8S ribosomal RNA, internal transcribed spacer 2, and large subunit ribosomal RNA". The stretch from base 1 to 120 matches the Rfam family "5.8S ribosomal RNA", at positions 35 to 154 of the family's 154-position model. The record is from RNAcentral.
GAUGAAGAACGUAGCGAAAUGCGAUAAGUAAUGUGAAUUGCAGCAUUCAGUGAAUCAUCGAAUCUUUGAACGCACAUUGCGCCCGCUAGUAUUCUGGCGGGCAUGCCUGUCCGAGCGUCAUUUCAACCCUCAAGCCCCCGGGCUUGGUGUUGGGGAUCGGCGAGCCUCCGCGCCCGCCGUCCCCUAAAUCUAGUGGCGGUCUCGCUGUAGCUUCCUCUGCGUAGUAGCACACCUCGCACUGGGAAACAGCGCGGCCACGCCGUUAAACCCCCAACUUCUGAACGUUUGACCUCGGAUCAGGUAGGAAUACCCGCUGAACUUAAGCAUAUCAAUAAGCGGAGGA